This 4135-nucleotide long non-coding RNA is filed under the name Homo sapiens (human). Its description in RNAcentral is "HSALNT0068731". The record is from RNAcentral. Lineage: Eukaryota; Metazoa; Chordata; Mammalia; Primates; Hominidae.
ACCACCACGACCAUCACCACCACCACCACCACCACCACCAUCACCACCACUAUCAUCAAUAUCACCACCAGCUACCAGCUCUGCCCUACUAUUGUAUGGGUCAUCAGGGGUGCGGGUUUGAGCCCAGCCUCCCUGCCUCCCUGCCCUCGGGUUCACCGUCCUGAGUACCAGGGGCCUAGAGCAAUCCCGGGGGCUUCCCUGUGUUUCCCCCAAAGCCAGGUUCUCUCUCUCAAAGGGAGUGACCUUUGGCCUCAAAGGGGCAAUAAACUUACAGUUGACCUGGACAAAGAGCACCGCCUCAUCGUGGCCUGCCGUGUUCUCUGCCCUGACGGACACGCGGUAGAUGCCGGGGCUCUCGUAGCGGUGCCGGAUGGGCUCCCCGGUCAGUGUAAGGUUCACGUACAUGGCCUUGAAGCCGUCCCCAAGGUCUACCUGGUACUUGGUAGUCAGGACAUCACCCUGCAGAGAAACACCAUGUGGCCACUCAGGAGUGGGCCUUGAAGCUGAGGGGCCAGAGUGGUUCAUUCACUCACUCACUCACUCACUCAUUCAUUCAUUGCCGCCCUCCCUUCCUUGACAUGAGUGGGCUCUGGGGACCCACAGGAGACCGGGCCUGGUUCUGCCCUGGAGAUUCUUCCUGGAGUAUGGGGCUGACCAAGGCAGCUGGUUUAACUAGGGGCUGUGGCCAAGGGAUAUUUCAGAACAAUCACCCAGCGGCAGAGAGGGAGAGGGAGAGGCCCAAGGGUGUCAUCAGAGAGCAGCUGGGGGGCAGUCAGGGCCCGGGGGAGACCCACAGAGGCCCGUGCUAGGGAUGGAGCCAGGAAGGUGAGGGGCCUCCCACUGCGAGGAGGGUUUCGGCAGGGGAGAGGAACACAUCUGGAAGUGCCUAAGCCGCCUGCCUGGAAACCAAGCAGGAUUUUCCUUUCUGGGAAGCUGCGGUUCUUAAUUUUCUCUUUCUCAGACCAUGCGGUACCAGGAGUGACGCUGAGAUGGGGCAGGGUGAGUGCAGAGAGGAGCUCCCACCAACUGCCAUCCCCGCGUGGCACCGAGUCACCCAGAGAGGCCGCUCCACCAUCUCCUUCCACCUUCCAAUAACCGCAUUUCCCUCGCAGAGGUGGGGGAUUGAGUGAAGGAAACAGGAACUUCUUCGAUUUAUGGCUCAUGAUCACAUUCUCCCUCCCUCCCUUCCUCCUCUCCUCCCCUUCCCUCUUCCUCCCUCGCCGGCACCAGGGGCACGAGGAAACCGUUUCCUAGUGAUGAUGGAGGAAACAGCGUGAUUACUAACCACUUAGCCAUCUUCUCAGUUUAUACCAGCCAAACGUUGAGUGUUAUAUGAAUGAGUGGCACAGCAGGGGAUCAUGUGGGAGUGGCUUUUUUCACUCGGCAUAAUCCACUUGAGGCUCAUCCAGGUUGAAGCAGAAGUCUUCAUUACUCUGAUAUGACCGCCAUGAGUGCAAGUGCUCAGUCCUCUGGUCGUUGCAUGUUGAGUUCGUUAAGAAACUGCUGAAGUGUUUUCCAGAACACCUGUGGCAUUCUCCAGUCUCCCCAGCCAUGCGUGGAGGAGACACCCUCACCGUGCCUUCUGCGUGCCCAGUUGGAGCCGCCCCUGCCCGACAGUCCCAGGAGCCUGCUGGGAGGUGCUCACUCACCUGCUCCUGCCGCACCACAAACAGGACGUCCUCUCCAGGCCGCACGGCCACCGCCUCGCCUUGAAUGCUGACCUGCAGGCCCCGGGGCGGCGUGAGGGGGCACUGCAGCUGCACCUGACUCUGCUGCAUGUCCACCCCACCCUCACACACGUUGGACACCACUUUCCGGUACCUGGAUUGACAAGAGAGGGUCAGGGUCCGCUUCAGACAGGUGGCAAGGGAUGGGGCCCCAUAGUCUGGGGAGGGACGUGCUUGCCACCCAGAGGUGGCACUUGGCUUCCCACCCCUAGGACUCUACUUGCUAACUCCCAGUCACCUCCUGACUCCACCUGAUUGCUGUUACAGCCCCAUUUUAGAGAUGAGAACACUGAGGCUCAGAGGAAGAAGGACUGAUGGUGGCAGGAUGUGCUUCGGAGGCGCUGGCAUCUCCGUGGUCUGAUCAUAUUACUCACAGUAACAGUAACAGCCACCGUUAGUGCUGCAGAGGGGCUGUUUAAGCAGCCAGUUUCAAUUUCACGGUCUUGCUGAGAAAGGUGGAGGACAGAGUGCCCAAGAGGGCCUGGGGUCCUGCCUCCACCUCGCCACUGGCUCACAGUGUGGCCGUAACCAUGGGCACACACACCCCUCCUCCUGGGCUCCGUCUCCCUGUUCCCUUGAGAGAACUGGAUUGGGCGAUUCGUGACUAAUCACUGCGUUCAUGAGAAACCUAUUUACUGAGCAUCUAUUAUGGGCCAGGUAGUGGGAAUGGGGGUGAUCGCAUGCAGCCCCUAGAUGCUGUGCAGAGCAGACCCUCUAGUGGAGAGGCAGAGGCGGACCUGAGCAGAUCACGUCAGAGUGAAACCACAGCUGUGAUGGCGCUGGCUGGGGCAUCCCUGGGGACCUGGACCCUGACAAAGGGGCUUUCAGCGAGAAUGGGAGGAUGAGCAGGAGAAGAAAGAGCAUCCCAGGCCAUGGGAACAACAUGUGCAAAGGCCCUAGGGUGGGUCUGAGCCUGGAGGAGGAGCGGGUGUGGCACGAGGCUGGAGAGAGGCCCUGGGCAACCUUUUAGGAGAUCCCUAAAAGGGGUGGCCUCAUCCAGCUUGCUACUUGUGAAGCUCCCUCAGGCUACACUAUGCGUCUGUGAAAGUGGCAUUGCUGCCAAGGUGCUGGGGGUACCUGUCUCCCCAAGGCUGAUCCCCCCUCUUGCCCUCAGGGCCAAAUUCUCCCAGAUGGCUCUGCCACUGAAUAAGCAUUCAGAAGUUGAUCAUGCACAGGCCCAUUUCAUUAGUGCUUUGAAAGAAAAUACCCUUCUCUAAGGGCCACCCACCCAUGGCACCUACAGCGUGCAGAUGGUAUGAGAUGAAAUCCUUUGUCUUGAUCAAGAUCCUGGCUCUGACACUUCAGACAAGAGUCCCUGUUGUCAAGCCCAGGUGGAUGUGCAACCACUGCAGCUUCAUGAUACAUAGGUGCAUGGGUAGACAGAUGGGUAGAUAAGUAGAUGGAUGGAUGGAUGGAUGGACGGUGAAUGAAUGAAUAGAUAGAUGGUGGAUGGAUAGAUGGAUGGGUAGAUGGAUGGAUGGACAGAUGGGUGGGUGGAUAGUGGAUGAAUUGAUGGGUAGAUAGAUGGAUAGGUGAAUGGAUGGAUAGAUUGAUGGAUGGUGAAUGAAUAGAUGGAUGGUGGAUGGAUAGAUGAAUGGAUGGAUGGGUAACUGAAUGGAUAGAUGGAUGCAUGGAUAGUAGUUGAAUGCCUGGGAGAAUGGAAGGAUGAAUGGAAAGACGUAUGGAUGAAUGAAUGGAUGGAGAAAUGAACAGAUGAUGGCUAACUGGAUGAUGGGUGGAUAAAUGGGUAGAUGGGAGAUGAACGAGUGAUUGCAUGGAUGGGUGGGUGGAUGGCAGGAGACAUGCUGGUGAGGCCAAAGCCUGCAAUUUCUGGUCCUGCCUCCUGUUUCCUCAAGUUCCCUCAGGGGAAGUAAUGGGGAUUUUCUAACAAGCCCAAGGGCUUUUCUCUUCCUCUCUGAAAAAUGUCCUCAAAGAGAAAUGAGGAAAUUGGGACUUUCUGACGGAGCACGUUUGGGACCUCCUAAAGCUGAAGGCUCACAGCUUUUAUGUACCUAACAUUUUACAUGAAUUGAAUCCUUCAUAGCAGUAUGUCCAGCCUCUGGUGGAGGAAAAGCAUCGUAACUGCUUGCACUUGGUGAUGCCUUCCCCUCAUGCACAGCUUGUAUUCAGCAAACCACAGACUGAAGGAACACCUACUGUGUGUUGUGGAGCUUACAGUUCAGCAAGGAGGACAAUUAGGGCCUGCUAUGCACCCAUCUGUGAGGACAUCAAGGAACACCCACAGCCCCAUCCCAGAUGGGCACACAGGGUAACAAGGGAGGCAAAGGGAUGCUGUGAACUCAGAGAAACCUGGAGGGCUGCCUGGAGGAGGUGAGCAAAUCUCAAAGGAUGGACAGAGACAGGUAGGGAAAGAGAGGGAGAGGCACUGCUGGCAGGGCCCAGCCUGA